AGAGUUUGAUUCUGGCUCACGCUUUAAACUGGCGGCGUGCUUAACACAUGCAAGUCGAACGCCCUUUUAUUGAAACCUAGUGAUUUAUGAGUUAGUGGCGGACGGGUGAGUAACGCGUGGAUAACCUGCCGUAUACCCCCCGGAUAACACUUAGAAAUAGGUGCUAAUACCGCAUAAGCGCACGGCUCCGCAUGGGGCAGUGUGAAAAACUCCGGUGGUAUACGAUGGAUCCGCGUCUGAUUAGCUAGUUGGCGGGGUAACGGCCCACCAAGGCAGCGAUCAGUAGCCGGCCUGAGAGGGUGGACGGCCACAUUGGGACUGAGACACGGCCCAAACUCCUACGGGAGGCAGCAGUGGGGAAUAUUGCUUAAUGGGGGAAACCCUGAUGCAGCGACGCCGCGUGAGUGAAGAAGUAUCUCGGUACGUAAAGCUCUAUCAGCAGGGAAGAAAAUGACGGUACCUGACCAAGAAGCCCCGGCUAACUACGUGCCAGCAGCCGCGGUAAUACGUAGGGGGCAAGCGUUAUCCGGAUUUACUGGGUGUAAAGGGAGCGUAUACGGCAGCACAAGUCUGGAGUGAAAUCCCGGGGCUUACCCCCGGAUCUGCUUUGGAAACUGUGCGGUUGGAGUGCAGGAGGGGUAAGCGGAAUUCCUAGUGUAACGCUGAAAUGCGUAUAUAUUAUGAGGAACACCGGUGGCGAAGGUGGCUUACUGGACUGUAAUUGACUUUAAGGUCCAAAACGUGGGGUAGCAAUCAGAUUAAAUACCCCUGGUACCCCCGUCGUAAACUUAUGAAUUACUAGGGUCCGGGGAAACCUACGUCCUUCGGUGGCCCGCCGCAAUU
This 843-nucleotide ribosomal RNA is filed under the name uncultured bacterium. Its description in RNAcentral is "bacterial SSU rRNA". It matches the Rfam family "Bacterial small subunit ribosomal RNA", at positions 8 to 856 of the family's 1533-position model. The record is from RNAcentral.